Long non-coding RNA from Betta splendens (Siamese fighting fish), 7544 nucleotides. RefSeq lists it as uncharacterized. NCBI's taxonomy places the organism in Eukaryota, Metazoa, Chordata, Actinopteri, Anabantiformes, Osphronemidae. The record is from RefSeq and is a predicted model, not a curated record. The transcript has 2 exons.
UCAUAUAUGUUAACGUACUAUAGAAGAUAAAUUCUGAAUGACUCCUCAUUGCAUUAGUUUAUCAAUUUCACACACUGUUAACACCUUUAUUAACCAGUUUAGUUAACUGUUAUUCCAACCAAUAGUGUAUAUGGCUAAAUACUAGUACUGUAAGUAGCACUAUGAUUGAUGAUUAAGUAUUACUAGGGGGACCCUAAUUUAAAGAAGCAAGCCAAGGUUUUGAGUCUAGAGGGAAUGGCUCACCUUGUAAAGCCAUUGAUGAUGACAGGCAGAGCAUGUUGUUUCAUCAGACCAAAAUAAGGUUUAAUUUGCUGGUUUGUUUAAAAAUCUGACCAAUGGACUGAACUUUAUUAUUAUUAUUAUAUAGGUUAUUAUCUUUUUAGCACAUUCCUCCAUAUUUACUAUAAAUGUUUUAGAUUCAAAAUUUAAUGUUUGUCAUGUGCACAGUGAGAAUGUUCCAUGUACAGUUAAUCCCAAAAGGAAAGUGAUAUAAACUACUGAUAAAUGUUAAAAAGUUUAUUUUUAACAUGUUUAAUAGUAAUAUGGACUUGUGGUGGAAAUUUUCCAUAAAGAAGCAGAUGAGAGAGUUGUCCUUUUGUGCGAUUUAUUGAAAUAAUAAAGAAAAUAAAAAUAAUGGGGAAAGCAAAUAAAAAGCAUGGAUGUUGAUCGUGGACAUCAACAAACCAAAAACCAGCUGGGGAGAUCAGUGCACACACCACGAAGGUGUGAUGCAAAGAGCCUACGAUCCUCAAGUUGCUUCUGCCUUUUAUCCCCUUUAUCUGGCUCUGGUGGAUUGUCUCUCUGCAGCAAUGGAAUUGUUUGCGCCACCUUAUCUCGCUGUGAGUGAGAAUGUUUGCUUUCUCACUUCUGCAUCGUAAUGUUUUGUUAUCCAAAGGAAGGAACACCGAGCUUACAAGAGAAGAUACAUUUGCUUUAACAGCCUUGGGUCUGGUGGGGAGUCAGAUAGGAUGACUAGCAAACAUAUAUCAUAAAUUACUAGUCAGUCAAAUGGAACAUCAGAUGUUUAGACUUGAUGUACAACAGGGCGCAAGAGAUUAGUUGUUUGUGUAAGAAUGUUCAGUAUUGCACCUAACCAGCACAUGACGAGUGUGUUGGAUAAGAAAUAGCACAAGGUAAAUUUUUUCCAUUACAGACUAUGUACGUCCAUGUUUGUAAGUCUAUAUCGUUUUUUUACGGCCCUGGUCAAGCUGGCAUCCGUUUACAACAGCUCCUGUCCUCUUCGUUCUACUUAAUACUUUCUUUACUCAUUUAAGCUUAUUCUUGUUAUGUUUUCCAUAAAAUAUAAAAAUAAGACGUGGGUAGUAGCAAGGUUUUAAUCAACUGUCUUCAGCCUAGUUUUACAGGAUACCACCACGUUUUGUUGACUUCUCUACCCUUUGUACUGUCUAGCGCUAGCUUUGCCAAGUACCGCCUCCUACACGUACUGAUAAUAUUACUCUUAUCAACACAAUUCUCUCUCGUUUUUGUUAGGUAUAUUACUGUGCAUAACUGUACACAGCUUGUAUAGCUUUUUUCUAAAUUUGAGUAGUACAAACGCUGUUAAAAGCGAUGAUGUGCUGGACCAGAGCACGCAUUGCUCACACCACGGAGCAGCUGAUCGCGCAGCGCCGCAGCUCUCACCAGGGACAGACACAAUAAUCCCGCUGAACUCGUAGUGAAGACCCACAGUGGGUGCCGCGCCAGAAAACUACGUCAAGAUAAAACGAGACGCUUCAAACCCGCUCUCCUGUCCGUCAUCAUGGAUAACGUGAGAUCUCUCCCAAACAAGAUGGACGAGCUUGCGGCGCUCACAGCAUCAGGUGGAGUACAGGACGUGCAGCGUCCUGCUGUUAACGGAGACCUGGCUGAUUUCAUUCAUCCUGGACUUGACUGUUGCACCGGAUAAUUUUCAUCUACUGCGUGCGGACAGAACAGAGGACAGCGGUAAGAGGAAUGGAGGGGGCUGGCUGUGUUUGUGAAUGAGAUGGUGUAAACCAGGACAUUGCACUAGCAAAAUGAAACUGUAACAGAGACAUUGAGCUGUUAGCUGUGGUCAUGAGGCCAUUCUGCCUGCCACAGGAGUUUACACACGUUAUAAUAAUUGUUGUGUACAUCCCACCCGGGGUCAGCUAACGCUGACACAGCCUCUGAGACCCAAAAACAGCACCCACAGGCCCUCUUCCUGAUUUCUGGGGAGUUGCACUUAUUCUACGCCAACACCAAAGUGGCUUACAGUGCAUCCUUUCUGCCAUCCCUGGCCAAAGCUGACCACAACACCCUGCAUCUCCUGCCUGUGUAUAAAACUGUGGUACACCUCCCUGUUCACUGAUCUACAAGGAACAGGGGGGAGCUGAGGAGGGUGCAGAAGAAGUUCAGGAGGAUUUUUUGUGAGGGGAAGGCCAGCUACAGGAGGAACACGGAGAAGCAGCUGCAGCGGAACAACUUCAGUGAGGUGUGGAGAAGCCUGAAAACCAUCUCAAAGUUUCACACCCACAAGCUGAGGGGGACCUGAGCUGGGUCAACAACCUGAACUCACACUUCAAUAGGUUUGACAAAGAAAACACUUUUAGCUUUUAACACUAUACAGCCAGUACUUCUUAAACACAAACAGGAGGAGGCUGGUGUGGACUUCCACCUGACUGAGUGGAUUGUGGAAUACCUCACAUCUGAACAAUAAACUGGACUGGACUCAUAACACAGAUGCACUGUACAGGAAGGGUCAGAGCAGGCUCUACCUGCUGAGGAGUCUGCGGUCUUUUGGGGUAAGGGGGCCACUCCUGAAGACUUUCUAUGACUCUGUAGUGGCAUCAGCCAUCCUGUACAGUGUGGUCUGUUGGAGCAGCAGCAUCACAUUGAGGCACAGGAAGAGACUGGACAGGGUCAUCAAAAAGUCCAGCUCUGUCCUGGGCUGCCCUCUGGACACGUUGCAGGAGGUGGGUGAGAGAAGGAUCCUUGCUAAACUGACAUCCAUCCUGAACCAGGACUCUCACCAACUUGGGGACUCACUAUCUCCUCUGGAGAGCAGCUUCAGUAGUAGACUGACCCACCCUCGCUGUGGAGAGGUAUCGCAGAUCUUUUUUUCCUGCUGCUAUCAGACUCUACAGUCAGGACUGGUAACUGCAUUUGCUCUGUUUAUGGAUAUGUGUGCUGUUAUGGAUGUGUGUUCGUAUGGUAGGUACAGUAUGGUUUCUCUCUCUUAUGACUGUAUGUGCAAAGUAAGUGCACAAAAAUGGCAUAAUAUAGACAGAAAUGUUAAAGCAGUGGUUGUAGACACUGUAACAAUAGUACAGUCUGUGCAAAUGUGUUUUGUGUGCAUAUUAGGACUGAGUUCCUUAGACUGGUAGUCCUACAUUUGACACUGCAUUACUUACAACCUAAAGGUAGGAGUCCAUGUUGGAGGACAGUGUGAUCCAUGAUGGGGGCAGCACUGGCAGUGCUGUGGCCUCUGCUGUAGUAGACACCCUCCAGAAAGGAUAGGGGAGUCAUGUUGAUGUUCUCAGCACUGUCUUCACUAUCUGCAGGUAUUUACUGUCCUUUCUACCAAACCGAAAGACUGGAAGGAAACCUGUGUCCUCUUACAAUAUUUUCCCCACUCAGCAACACACCUGCUGGGAGACCACUGGUGACUCCAAUGUCCGAAAGGGGAAGUUAGAGAAUCCAGCGGUCAUAGUUAAAUGUUUGCCUGGGGCCAGAGCGGGCAACAUUGAGUCUUAUCUUAAGCUCCUGUCUAAGGAUAAGCGUAAGUAUGGUAAGAUCGUAAUACACGCAGGAGCUAAUGACGCCUGGUUACGCCAAUCGGAAGUCACUAAAACUAACAAUGAGUCGGUGUGUUCGUUUUCCAAAAAAAUGUCAGUCUCCGUAGUUUUCUCUGGACCCCUCCCCAAUAUGACCAGCGAUGACAUGUAUUGGUGGCUGUCAUCGCUUCACCGCUGGUUGUCUAGGUGGUGUCCUGCAAACGACGUGGGCUUUGUGGCUAAUUGGAGCAGUUUUUGGGGAAAACCUGGGCUGAUUAGAAUAGAUUGCAUCAUCCCACGUUGGACGGAUCUUCUCUGCUCUGAGUUGACAUGGAGUAGGGAGGCUAAGCAACAUGGUCAUGUUACUAGAGUGGAGCCCAGGACGCAAAGUCACAGUCUUACAUGCCUCUCUGCAUGUUCUCUACAGACACCACCCCCUCUUAGUCGUAGUUAUCGCAUAGAGACUGUGUCUGCUCCCCAACCCCCUAAACUAUACAAAUCACUUAAAAAUCAAAGAGGAGUGACUUACCAGAAUUUAAUAAAAAUCAAAACGGUUCCUAUUACAGAACAAAGUAACAGUAAGCUAAUAAAGUGUUUUCAUAAAUAUCAGAUCUCCCUCAUCUGAAUCCUUUUUAUUAAAUUACUUGAUAAGUGACCAUCUGUUCUGUCCCACUGAAGCCUGGCUGCAGCAGGAUGAAUAUGUUAAUUUAAAUGAGUCAACUCCAUAGAGUCACAUCAACUAUCAUGUUCCUAGAAGUACAGGUCGAGGUGGAGGAGUAGCAGUAAUUUAUGACUCAGAUUUACUAAUUACUCCUAAACCCAAACAUAGUUAUAAUUUAUUUGAGAGCCUCACUCUGAGUCCUAACCCAGACUCUUUUUUGUAUUUGUUUAUCGUCCUCCUGUUCCAUAUUCAGAGUUCUUAACUAAAUUCUCUGAAUUCUUAUCUGGCUUGGUUAUUAGCCCAGUUAAAGUCAUUGUAGUGGUAGACGUUUAACAUUCCUGUAGAUGUUGACAGUAACUGUCAGCACUUUAUGAAGAGGUUGGCUGUCUUGUUGAACACAGUGGCUUCUCUGAAGAAGAAGGCAGUGAAUCAGAGGAGGUUAGCUCCAUGGUAUAACUCAGAAAUCCACAGCCUAAAGCACAGGACAAAAGCUUAUGUACCAUAGCAAGGUGGCUGUGGUCAAACCUUUAUUGAAUAAACCUACUCUGAACCCAGGGGAACUAGCCAACUAUGGGCCCAUUUCAAAUUUACCUUUUAUUUCUAAGGUUCUUGAAAAAAUUGUGACCAAACAAUUAUCUAACCACCUUAGUGGGAAUAACCUGUACGAAGAUUUUCAGUCUGAAUUUAGAAAACAUCAUAGCACAGAAAAAGCUCUGGUUAGAGUCACUAAUGAUCUUCUCUUAGCUUCAGACAAUGUUCUAGUUUCUGUCCUUGUCCUGUUACAUCUUAGUGCUGCAUUUGAUACAGUUGAUCAUAACAUUUUAUUAGAGUCGAGACUGGAACAGCAUCAGACUUAAAAGUACAGCACUGGGAUGGUUUAAAUCCUAUUUGUUGAACAGGUUCCACUUUGUUCAUGUUAACGACAAAUCCUCCAUAUGCACAAGGAUUAACUUUGGAGUACCGGCGGGUUCUGUGCUUGGUUCAAUACUAUUCAGUCUAUACAUGUCUACUCUAGGUGAGAUUAUUAGGAACGAUAUUAGGACAAUCUAUACAUUUUCAUUGUUAUGCAGAUGAUACUCAGCUAUAUAUGUCUUUGGAACCAAAUGAAACAGAUCAAAUAGUCAAAAUUCUGAGUUGUUUAAAAGUCAAUUCCUGGAUGUCCCAAAACUUCCUUCAACUAAAUUCAGAUAAAACCGAAAUUCUUAUCGUAAAAAUCAAAGACACUAUUGUGUUACAAAGCCACCCUGGAUAGCAUAACUGUCUACUGUGAGGAACCUAGGUGUCAUCUUUGACCAGAUCAGGCUUAAAACUUUCCUUUUUGAUAAAGCUUAUUGUUAGAGAUGGUUCAGGUCACUGUCCAUGAUUGUUAGUCACAGGGACCAUCUCUUAGUUAAGCUGCAAUAGACAUACACUGUUGGGGGACUUAAUUUAUACACUGAGCUCCUCUGUUUUCUUCUAUCUCUUCCAUCCAAAAAGGCUUGCUGUAUGUGGGAUCUGUUGUGUUUAGUUGUGUAAAGUCUUGAGAUAACCUUUGGAGCUAUAUAAAAAAAAUAUUUGAAUUGAACCAUUACAGUAGUGCUGCUGUGCCAUAUGGUGAUACAGCUCAAGGAUGCUUUAAAUAGUGCAUGUUUAAAAGUUACUGACAAUCUUUGGUGACAAUUUCAUCAGUCUCCUUAGGAAGUGCAUCUGCUUUGUAUUCAAGUGAGGUCUUUACUUAUAUGGACCCCCAGGUAAUUAAAGCUGCGCAAUGUCUUCACUUCAAGCUCCUGAAUAAACAUUAAUGAGUUCUCCUUAUUUUACUCAUGUCUACUAUCAUUUCCUUUGUCUUUCCCAUGUUAAGGGUGAGGUCCUUGCACUCUCUCACCAGACUGCUCACCUCCCUCCUUAAGGCUCAUUCUCAACAGUGAUCUAUCCCAUCACUGCGGUAAUGUUGGCAAACUUCAGGAUGGUGUUUUUUGGGAUGCGAUACAGUCAUGUAUGACCAGUGUUUAGAGGAUGAAACUGAGAACACACCUUUGUGGGGAUGCCAGUAUUCAUGUAGUAAUGGCUCAUCUUCUACUUUUAAGUCUAACAGACUAUAGUCUACGAGUCAGGAGGAUUGGAAGCCAGUGAGUGGGAGUGUAGUCCAUGUUUGAAGAGAUUUUGGCGGAUGACUGUGACUCAGUUGAUAGAACCUUGGCCUCGGAAGGCAAAGGUCCGCAGUUCAAUCCCUGUUUCAGCAUCAGAUGUGUUCUUGAGCCACUUCACUUGAGCCACUUCACACAACCUCCCCAUGCUCCUUCUGUGUGACCACUUGUGCAUGUAUGGGUUAAAUGCAGUGAAAUAAUUUCCCCAAGGGGAUUAAUAAAGUCUGCCUUAUGUCAUAAAAUAUAGAGCUAAAAGCAAAAAAAAGUUCCUCUACUUUUCCUAUGGGUUUUACCGACUUAAAGUUUCGCCAAGAUCCUUUUUGGAGAAGCAGUGGCUCUAUAUCGGACAACAUGUAAGCUCCUGUCAGGCAUCAUAGCAGCCAGGAUGAGCAGACACAUGGACCAAUACAUGAGCAGUGCCCAGAAAGAAAUUGGUAGUAACACCAGGGCAGCAAAACACCAGCUACUGGUAGACAAAGCAGUCACCUAAGACUGUAAGACCAGACAUGUCAACCGAAGCACUGCCUGGAUGGACUACAAGAAAGCCUAUAACUCAAUGCCUUUCACAUGGAUCAUGGAAUGCUUGAAACUAUACAAGAUCAACAGGACCCUAAGAACCUUCAUCUAGAACUCAAUGGGAAAGUGGAAAACAACCCUAGAGGCAAACUUCAAGCUGAUUGCCCAAGUCAACAUCAACUGCUGCAUAUACUAAGGAGAUGCUCUGUCCCUGCUGCUGUUCUGCAUAUUACCAAACCCCCUGAUCAUCAGGGGGCCAGAUCAUCACCAAGAUGGAAGCCACUGAUAUCAAGACAAGGAAGCUCCUUACAAUGCAUGGGGGGUUUCCCCCCAAAACCACCACCCUGAGACUGUACGUCAAGCGGAAGGAAGGAGUGUGUGUGUGUGUGUGUGUGUGUGUGUGUGUGUGUGUGUGUGUGUGUGUGUGUGUGUGUGUGUGUGUGUGUGUGUGUGUGUGUGUGUGUGUGUGUGUGUGUGUGUGUGUGUGUGUGUGUGUGUGUGUGUGUG